GAUGAACGCUAGCGACAGGCUUAACACAUGCAAGUCGAGGGGCAGCACAGGUAGCAAUACCGGGUGGCGACCGGCGCACGGGUGAGUAACGCGUAUGCAACUUACCUAUCAGAGGGGGAUAACCCGGCGAAAGUCGGACUAAUACCGCAUGAAGCAGGGGCCCCGCAUGGGGAUAUUUGCUAAAGAUUCAUCGCUGAUAGAUAGGCAUGCGUUCCAUUAGGCAGUUGGCGGGGUAACGGCCCACCAAACCGACGAUGGAUAGGGGUUCUGAGAGGAAGGUCCCCCACAUUGGUACUGAGACACGGACCAAACUCCUACGGGAGGCAGCAGUGAGGAAUAUUGGUCAAUGGGCGUAAGCCUGAACCAGCCAAGUCGCGUGAGGGAUGAAGGUUCUAUGGAUCGUAAACCU
This 409-nucleotide ribosomal RNA is filed under the name uncultured bacterium. RNAcentral describes it as "bacterial SSU rRNA". It matches the Rfam family "Bacterial small subunit ribosomal RNA", at positions 28 to 432 of the family's 1533-position model. The record is from RNAcentral.